RNAcentral lists this ribosomal RNA (164 nucleotides) under uncultured bacterium. RNAcentral describes it as "partial 16S rRNA". It matches the Rfam family "Bacterial small subunit ribosomal RNA", at positions 355 to 511 of the family's 1533-position model. The record is from RNAcentral.
UAGGGAAUCUUCCACAAUGGACGAAAGUCUGAUGGAGCAACGCCGCGUGAGUGAAGAAGGGUUUCGGCUCGUAAAACUCUGUUGUUAGAGAAGAAUGACAUUGAGAGUAACUGUUCAAUGUGUGACGGUAUCUUACCAGAAAGGAACGGCUAAAUACGUGCCAG